UCUCAGCAACAUGAAGAUAGCUACACACAAGGUUCGCCAAAACAUCCCGAACCUUUCGGUCGGAGCAUGUCGAACCAUACCAACGGCCGAUCAGGACAGUUUUGACAUGAAAAAUGGAACACCAAUGAGGAGAGAGAACAAAAGAGAGGAAAAGAGAGACAAAGAAGGGGGAGAGAAGGAGAGAAAAAGGCCGGAGAGGCCGUUAAAAGCUACCGGAGGGCCACUGAGGCCUCCGGAGCUCCGCGCUCCGUAGAAAGAAAAAAAGAGAGAUCGAGAGAGACAAAGAGAGGGAGAAGGGAGAGACAGGAACAGAAGAAGCGGG
Molecule: long non-coding RNA, 322 nt
Filed under: Elaeis guineensis (African oil palm)
Lineage: Eukaryota; Viridiplantae; Streptophyta; Magnoliopsida; Arecales; Arecaceae
Description: long non-coding RNA (EGUI_LNC024325)
Source: RNAcentral